UCUAUACAUGACUCUGCGCAUAUCAAUAAGCGGAGGAAAAGAAACUAACAAGGAUUCCCCUAGUAACGGCGAGUGAAGCGGGAAGAGCUCAAAUUUGAAAUCUUAAAGGUUUUCCCUUGACGAAUUGUAGUUUAAAGAAGUGUUUUCUGUUGAAGGUUUUGGUAAAAGUUCUUUGGAAUAGGACAUCAUAGAGGGUGAGAAUCCCGUAUUUGACCAUUUACUUUCAGCUUUGUGAUACACUUUCAAAGAGUCGGAUUGUUUGGGAAUGCAGUCCAAAAUGGGUGGUAAAUUUCAUCUAAAGCUAAAUAUUGGCGAGAGACCGAUAGCGAACAAGUACCGUGAGGGAAAGAUGAAAAGAACUUUGAAAAGAGAGUUAAACAGUACGUGAAAUUGUCAAAAGGGAAGCGUUUGACACCAGUGUUGUUUUUCUGAAAAUCAAUUAAAGAACUGUUUAUGCUAAGUUGUUUAGACUUUAUCAGCUAAUCUGUUUAGUUUUGAGCUUCUCUUUAAUGCACUUUUCAGUUAACAAGUCAACAUCAAUUUCUUUUGCUGUAAAAAAGCUUGAGGAAGGUGGCUUGAGAUUCGUCUUAAGUGUUUAUAGCCUCUUGCCUAUGCAGUCGGAGAGAUUGAGGUCUGCAGCGUAGAUCCUUCGGGGCUAGAUACAUUUGUGCUAAGUUAUAGCAUUUUAUAGACAACUUGUUGACUAUGAUUUGUCUUGUAGCUUACUCGCUUAUGUUAUUUUACCUACGCUUAGGAUGUUGACAGCAGUAUAGACUGU
This 778-nucleotide ribosomal RNA is filed under the name uncultured Neocallimastigales. RNAcentral describes it as "partial large subunit ribosomal RNA". It matches the Rfam family "Eukaryotic large subunit ribosomal RNA", at positions 22 to 629 of the family's 3401-position model. The record is from RNAcentral. Lineage: Eukaryota; Fungi; Neocallimastigomycota; Neocallimastigomycetes; Neocallimastigales.